AUUGAACGCUGGCGGCAGGCCUAACACAUGCAAGUCGAACGGUAACAGAAAGCAGCUUGCUGCUUUGCUGACGAGUGGCGGACGGGUGAGUAAUGUCUGGGAAACUGCCUGAUGGAGGGGGAUAACUACUGGAAACGGUAGCUAAUACCGCAUAACGUCGCAAGACCAAAGAGGGGGACCUUCGGGCCUCUUGCCAUCGGAUGUGCCCAGAUGGGAUUAGCUAGUAGGUGGGGUAACGGCUCACCUAGGCGACGAUCCCUAGCUGGUCUGAGAGGAUGACCAGCCAAACUGGAACUGAGACAAGGUCCAGACUCCUACGGGAGGCAGCAGUGGGGAAUAUUGCACAAUGGGCGCAAGCCUGAUGCAGCCAUGCCGCGUGUAUGAAGAAGGCCUUCGGGUUGUAAAGUACUUUCAGCGGGGAGGAAGGGAGUAAAGUUAAUACCUUUGCUCAUUGACGUUACCCGCAGAAGAAGCACCGGCUAACUCCGUG
RNAcentral lists this ribosomal RNA (490 nucleotides) under uncultured bacterium. RNAcentral describes it as "partial 16S ribosomal RNA". It matches the Rfam family "Bacterial small subunit ribosomal RNA", at positions 30 to 507 of the family's 1533-position model. The record is from RNAcentral.